UCCCCGCCGCGCUCGGAGCUGGCGCGGUCACGGCCUCCCUGCGCAGAGGUGGUGCACACACCGAAUAGGUUGCGCUCCAGGGGCGCCGAGCCCGCUGUGCCUGCGCGCAAGGCCCCUCUGUCCCGCGCCGGCCAGCCUCGAACUUCGGGGACUGAAAGCCGGGGUAAGGGAGCACGCGGGAGGGAAGGCCUGUCCCCUCUUCGCGGCCCCGGCCGAGAGGGGGAUCGCCGGCCUUUGGCAGCGGCCGAACACCCACCUGCCGAGCGGGAAGCCCGUGAGCGCUCCGAGAGGCCGCGGGAACCGGGCCCGCCCUCCGCGGGAGGGACCUCGGCGCGAGGAACGGCGAGGAGGGGCCGCGCUUACAUGUUUGUGCAGCGCCGCUUCACCUGGCCGCGAGUUUGAUUUCAGGGUGUGGCCUCAGGUAGGACAUAGCGAAAGCAGAGCCUGGGAAAAAUCGCCCAGGGGUGCAGAGGCCGCGCGACAAGGAGCCCCGCUGCCAGAGAGACGACCCCUGCCCAGCGCUUUCCCUCCAAUGCUCGAGUAGCCUUGGAGCCCUGACGCUGCCACUCCCGCAGCUGUCCGCCCGCCAAGCAAAGACCCGACCUGGAUUAUCCGCUGAGCACUGGCUGGUGAUUCUUUGUCUUUCCUCUGACUGGACACUGUUGGCCUUACUCUGUUAGACAAAGUGACCUCCAGUGGCUGCCCAGGAAGCUGACUACUGAGUUAAGGAUGGGACCAUGCAAGGAUGGGACCAUGCAAGGCACAACUCAGCUCUGCCCAGGAGGAGAAGGCAGAAGUGUGGAGCCCUGAGCAUCUGCUUCACCAUGCCUGGUGUUCCUGCUCCUGGGCCUGUCUCCAAACCUCCCCAGGACUGAGAGUUGCACCUCUUCCCACCUUUCCAGAUCCCAGACACAUCCUCCUCCAGCAAGAUCCACUCCAGUGGAUUAUAAAAGUCUUCUUAUCCAGCCUGAACCUGGUGACAGAGUGAUAGGAGAUGAAAUCAAGACCUAGAGACAUGAAGUAACUUAUCCAAGUCACCAGGAAGAGGCAACACCAGGCUUGACACUCACCCUGCUGACUCUGCACUGUUAACCCUGUCAUCCUGUGUCUUGCUACACUUAGGUAUCUCCCUGAGCACCCAUCUUUUGCAGAGACCUGAAGCUUGAAGCUUCUUCCACAAGUGUUUUUUCAUUCUUAUCUUUUUUUCCCUUUGGUCCAUCUGUAUAAAGUCUAUGUUAAGAAUCAUCUUCUAGUAUUGGUUUAAUUUUAUAAAUUAUCUGGACUGGAUGAGUCAUGGCUGACAAUUUCAGCGAUGAGUCUGGGGCCCAGAGUGGGCGGAAGGACAAAACCACCCAGGUGCUGACUGUGGCUCUGAGAUCAGCUUGUUUCUGGCGGGGUUGACCCCAUGCUCAGCUUUCCUUUACAUUGUCUAUCAAAGGGUUAUAAGCUUCCCCAAGGCAAGGGUUCUGUCCCAUUUAUCUAUCAGCACUUUUCCCCACCCAUCUUCUGGCCACCAGUGUUUUGUACUUAGUAAGCACACAAUCCCUACCACCUGCCUCAAGUCAGGUAGCCAGAAAAAGCACUGCCUGGAUCCCACAUCUUGACAGAUGCUGUGGUCUGAAUGUGUACCCCAAAGUUCAUGUGUUAGAAACUUACUCCCCAAUGCAAUAAGACUGAAGAGGUGGGAACUUCAAGAAGUGUUUGGGUCUUGAGGGCCCUCACAAAUGAAUUAAUGUCUCCAGCAUAAGAGUUUAUUACAAAAGUGAGUUAGGCCCUCUCUCUUAUUUGGGAGAGGGUAGUGGGGACUGAACCCAGGGGCACUUAACCACUGAGCUAUACCCCCAGCUCCUUUUUAUUUUUAUUUUGAGACAGAGUCUGGCUAAGUUGUUUAGGGCCUAAGUUGCUAAGGCUGGCCUUGAACUUGUGAUCUUCCUGCCUCAGCCUUGGGAGCUGCUGGGAUUAUAGGCAUGAGCCACCACUCCUGGAGAGUUAGGCCCUCUCUUACUCU
Molecule: long non-coding RNA, 2008 nt
Organism: Sciurus carolinensis (gray squirrel)
Lineage: Eukaryota; Metazoa; Chordata; Mammalia; Rodentia; Sciuridae
Exons: 5
Source: RefSeq, a predicted model, not a curated record